GCAUUCUGGAAAUGGAUUCAGGCUAACAGAGUGUUCUGAAUAGAGACGCCUAAAACAAGAGCCAAAGACAUAGCAACGGAGAACGUGGGUGGUACAGCCCUCCACCCUGGCGAGCAGCACGUUAGAAUCACAUAGGAGCUUAAAAAGUACUGACUGGCCUGGUCUUUUUUGGUGUGAAGGUGGGAUGCAGGCUUCCUGGGCUUAUCCUCUCGUACAGCCAGAGUUGAGAACCAUCUGAGUAGCGCUUCUCACACUUCUGGCCACAUCAGAAUCGUCCGGGGGCUUGUUCACUGCAGGUUGCUGGGUCCCAUCUCUAGCCUCUGAUCCAGUAGCCUGGGGUGGGGCACAGGAUGUCCUGCUGCUGGGGUCUGGGCAGUGCUAUGAGAACUGCUGACGUUGGAGCUCGAUCAGGCAGUUGGACCACCCAAAUGGCAAACUAAAAGCAUAGAAGCGGACACCAGAGGCUCCUGGACCUGAGAUGUGGCCCUGGAAGUGACCAGAUGUGGUCUCAAGAGAUGCGGGCCCAGGGCUAGGAAUGCCGCCAUCCGGGGAGGCCCUAGAGCAGAGC
This 568-nucleotide long non-coding RNA is filed under the name Pan troglodytes (chimpanzee). RNAcentral describes it as "lincRNA". Lineage: Eukaryota; Metazoa; Chordata; Mammalia; Primates; Hominidae. The record is from RNAcentral.